RNAcentral lists this ribosomal RNA (253 nucleotides) under uncultured bacterium. RNAcentral describes it as "partial 16S ribosomal RNA". It matches the Rfam family "Bacterial small subunit ribosomal RNA", at positions 524 to 776 of the family's 1533-position model. The record is from RNAcentral.
UACAGAGGGGGCAAGCGUUGUUCGGAAUUACUGGGCGUAAAGGGCGCGUAGGCGGCCUUCUAAGUCGAACGUGAAAUCCCUGGGCUCAACCCAGGAACUGCGUCCGAGACUGAAAGGCUUGAAUCCGGGAGAGGGAUGCGGAAUUCCAGGUGUAGCGGUGAAAUGCGUAGAUAUCUGGAGGAACACCGGUGGCGAAGGCGGCAUCCUGGACCGAUACUGACGCUGAGGAGCGAAAGCCAGGGGAGCAAACGGG